AGGGCGAUAGUAUAGAUGAAUACCGCUGUUUUGCAGACAGUAAAUGCCUUUUGAAGGCUCGCCUCA
RNAcentral lists this transfer RNA (66 nucleotides) under Degeeriella rufa. RNAcentral describes it as "tRNA-Ala". Lineage: Eukaryota; Metazoa; Arthropoda; Insecta; Psocodea; Philopteridae. The record is from RNAcentral.